CGGGGCGUAGCGCAGCCUGGUAGCGUCCUUGCAUGGGGUGCAAGGGGUCGUGAGUUCGAAUCUCACCGCUCCGACCA
RNAcentral lists this transfer RNA (77 nucleotides) under Porticoccaceae bacterium. RNAcentral describes it as "tRNA-Pro". It matches the Rfam family "tRNA". Rfam says of the family: Transfer RNA (tRNA) molecules are approximately 80 nucleotides in length. Their secondary structure includes four short double-helical elements and three loops (D, anti-codon, and T loops). Further hydrogen bonds mediate the characteristic L-shaped molecular structure. tRNAs have two regions of fundamental functional importance: the anti-codon, which is responsible for specific mRNA codon recognition, and the 3' end, to which the tRNAs corresponding amino acid is attached (by aminoacyl-tRNA synthetases). tRNAs cope with the degeneracy of the genetic code in two manners: having more than one tRNA (with a specific anti-codon) for a particular amino acid; and 'wobble' base-pairing, i.e. permitting non-standard base-pairing at the 3rd anti-codon position. The record is from RNAcentral. Lineage: Bacteria; Pseudomonadati; Pseudomonadota; Gammaproteobacteria; Cellvibrionales; Porticoccaceae.